This 195-nucleotide ribosomal RNA is filed under the name Helicobacter pylori. RNAcentral describes it as "partial 23S ribosomal RNA". It matches the Rfam family "Bacterial large subunit ribosomal RNA", at positions 1915 to 2109 of the family's 2925-position model. Lineage: Bacteria; Pseudomonadati; Campylobacterota; Epsilonproteobacteria; Campylobacterales; Helicobacteraceae. The record is from RNAcentral.
AAGCCCGAGUAAACGGCGGCCGUAACUAUAACGGUCCUAAGGUAGCGAAAUUCCUUGUCGGUUAAAUACCGACCUGCAUGAAUGGCGUAACGAGAUGGGAGCUGUCUCAACCAGAGAUUCAGUGAAAUUGUAGUGGAGGUGAAAAUUCCUCCUACCCGCGGCAAGACGGAAAGACCCCGUGGACCUUUACUACAA